Desulfosporosinus orientis DSM 765 is the source of this 116-nucleotide ribosomal RNA. NCBI's taxonomy places the organism in Bacteria, Bacillati, Bacillota, Clostridia, Eubacteriales, Desulfitobacteriaceae. The record is from Rfam.
UCUGGUGAUAAUGCCGGAGGGGUUCCACCCGUUCCCAUACCGAACACGGUAGUUAAGACCUCCAGGGCCGAUGAUACUUGGGGCAUAGCCCCUGGGAAAGCAGGACAUUGCCAGGU